GCGUAAAGGAUCAUGGACAAUCAAGUACGCUUGUAUUUUUGGUUUUUUAUACAUAUUUAAAAAUAAAUAUUAUUACUAUUUAAAAAUAAUAUAUUUAGCCCACCCCCUACCAAAAAGAAAAAAAAUCCAGGGCACACCUUUGGAAUAUUCUUUGGAUAGCCAUACGAGGGGAGUUAUUUAAUUGGAGGUCAGCAGCCUGCAAUUAGCCACUAAUAUUUGUAAUUUUUAAGUAAAAUACAUUUGACGUAUUUUACCUUGUUGAUUUUUACUAUGUUGUUUUUUAAAUGUCUUUUUUUUAGAUUACCGUUAGAUCCAUUUAACUAUUAAUUUACCUCCUUUAACUUUAACUUGUAAACUUAACAACUUGUAAAAAUUCUUUAACUUCCCAACAGACGGAUGUGGACGCACAACUAUUAUUUUGGUUUGGAUGCGCCACACUGUUGACAACAUGUAUCUGUAUUUGACAAAUUUGUUGCCAACACUCAGCAACGUGUUGUCAAUAGUUGUCAACAAAAUGUUGCUUAAUAUUUUAAGAAUUUACUUUAAUUUAUUAAUAAAAAAAUUAAUGGCUAAG
Molecule: non-coding RNA, 574 nt
Organism: Cinara cedri
Lineage: Eukaryota; Metazoa; Arthropoda; Insecta; Hemiptera; Aphididae
Source: the annotation of a GenBank genome assembly